Molecule: long non-coding RNA, 595 nt
Organism: Anguilla rostrata (American eel)
Lineage: Eukaryota; Metazoa; Chordata; Actinopteri; Anguilliformes; Anguillidae
Exons: 2
Source: RefSeq, a predicted model, not a curated record
UUGGCCACCCCAGCUUUACAGUAUGCAUAUUCUGUGUCGACCAUGGAGAGUACAUGAAGGGUCAUGAGAUGGUAACAAGAGAGAUGUCUUACCAUGACAGUAAUAUUCUUACUGUAUUUGUUUCUAUAGGAUGGGGAUAUACCACAGCAAAUAUUCAGUGAGAGUAAGAGAUGUGCUCAACUGGCUACCGAUCUGGGGCUGCAGGGUCAAUUAACAAUUUAAGGAAUCAAUUAAGCACCAGCUGUAUCAGGGUCUCCAUUGAAAUGCCACUGGAAUUGAAUGACACGAAAUGAAAAUGGAUCCUACAGACAUGCUGAGAAUAUAAGAUGCAGUAAAGAAGAAUGGAACAAUGCCACAGCAUAUAAGUAAAAAAUGAUUACGUUCUUUUAAUCAAAAUUUUUAAUGCCUGUUCUUGUCCAUUUAUAGUUUUGUCUAUUGCUUUAUAAAUGUAUACCACUCCAAAUGGUGCAUUGGACUGCACAGCCUUAAAACUGGACAGGCUAUUAAUAAGAUGGGUUCUUGGCAAUAUACACACCGUAAAAAGUCCAAUAUAUCAUUAUAGUGACUUUUGCAUAGGAGAUGGUUUUUCAUUAUA